RNAcentral lists this long non-coding RNA (704 nucleotides) under Homo sapiens (human). Its description in RNAcentral is "PREDICTED lncRNA (TCONS_00060882)". Lineage: Eukaryota; Metazoa; Chordata; Mammalia; Primates; Hominidae. The record is from RNAcentral.
AAAGGGAUUUCACCUCGUCCUUGAGAGCAACACGGGGAGCGCGAGCGAGCGGGCGAGCGAGAGACGGGGGGAGAGAGAGGGACACGCGCGCGCACACACACACACACCGGCACACACGCACACACACAGACACACACACACAGAGUGAAAAAGGCGAGCCACCAAAACCCAUCUCCAGUCUCCUCCCGGGGGCCCCCAGCCCGCCUCUGUGCCACUUUGCAUCCCACGCCGGAGGAGGCAUUAACGAGACCGGUGCUGCAUUCUUACAACCCUAAAAUCCAUCUGCUCUUAACACACCGUCAAAAAGAGGGGGAAAUGCAUCUCCGAGGGAGUGCUCGAGAGAAGAUAAUGGAAUGGUCUGAUGUAAUCCCAUACAAAUUAUUCCUCAUGAUGUGAAAAUGCUUUUACAGGGACCUGGGAGAUUUCUAAACUGAGCUUUUUAAACGGUCCAAGGUGUAGAGCCAUACUUCAGGAGGAUCCUCAGAAGUUUUGGACAAGCCUCCCCAAAUGUGGCAGGUGCUGUGCUGGCCAUUGGUGACCCAAAGAUGAUGAAAAAUAUGUUCCUGCCCACAAGGAGUUAGCGACCUACUGGGGUUUUUCUCAGAAAUUACGUACUCUACGGCUGCCCAUCCUAUUCAAGAAUGAGGCAAUAGAAAAGCAUUUGCAAAAGUUAGUUACAAAUGUGGGGCUUGACGUUGAGCUAA